RNAcentral lists this ribosomal RNA (912 nucleotides) under uncultured archaeon. Its description in RNAcentral is "bacterial SSU rRNA". It matches the Rfam family "Archaeal small subunit ribosomal RNA", at positions 16 to 940 of the family's 1478-position model. The record is from RNAcentral.
GCCGGACCUGACUGCUAUCGGAUUGAUACUAAGCCAUGCGAGUCAUUGUAGUAAUACAAGGCAGACGGCUCAGUAACGCGUAGUCGACCUAACCUAUGGACGGGAAUAACCUCGGGAAACUGAGUAUAAUGCCCGAUAGAACAUUAUGCCUGGAAUGGUUUAUGUUCCAAAUGAUUUAUCGCCGUAGGAUGGGACUGCGGCCUAUCAGUUUGUUGGUGAGGUAAUGGCCCACCAAGACUAUUACAGGUACGGGCUCUGAGAGGAGUGGCCCGGAGAUGGGUACUGAGACACGGACCCAGGCCCUAUGGGGCGCAGCAGGCGAGAAAACUUUGCAAUGUGCGAAAGCACGACAAGGUUAAUCCGAGUGGUUUCUGCUAAAGGAACCUUUUGUCGGUCCUAGAAACACCGAUGAAUAAGGGGUGGGCAAGUUCUGGUGUCAGCCGCCGCGGUAAAACCAGCACCUCAAGUGGUCAGGAUGAUUAUUGGGCCUAAAGCAUCCGUAGCCGGCUUUGUUAGUUUUCGGUUAAAUCUGUACGCUUAACGUACAGGCUGCCGGGAAUACUGCAGAGCUAGGGAGUGGGAGAGGUAGACGGUACUCGGUAGGAAGGGGUAAAAUCCUUUGAUCUAUUGAUGACCACCUGUGGCGAAGGCGGUCUACCAGAACACGUCCGACGGUGAGGGAUGAAAGCUGGGGGAGCAAACCGGAUUAGAUACCCGGGUAGUCCCAGCUGUAAACUAUGCAAACUCAGUGAUGCAUUGGCUUGUGGCCAAUGCAGUGCUGCAGGGAAGCCGUUAAGUUUGCCGCCUGGGAAGUACGUACGCAAGUAUGAAACUUAAAGGAAUUGGCGGGGGAGCACCACAAGGGGUGAAGCCUGCGGUUCAAUUGGAUUCAACGCCGGGAAGGGGGAAUUC